CCUACGGGAGGCUGCAGUAGGGAAUCUUUCACAAUGGGCGAAAGCCUGAUGGAGCAACGCCGCGUGCAGGCUGAAGGCCUUCGGGUUGUAAACUGCUUUUAUAAGCGAGAAAUAUGAUGGUAACUUAUGAAUAAGGAUCGGCUAACUACGUGCCAGCAGCCGCGGUCAUACGUAGGAUCCGAGCAUUAUCCGGAGUGACUGGGUGUAAAGAGUUGCGUAGGUGGCAUAAUAAGUAGCUAGUGAAAUCUGGUGGCUCAACCAUUCAGACUAUUAGCUAAACUGUUAAGCUCGAGACCGUUAGGGGUAACGGGAAUUUCUAGUGUAGGAGUGAAAUCCGUAGAUAUUAGAAGGAACACCAAUAGCGUAGGCAGGUUGCUGGGACGGUUCUGACACUAAGGCACGAAAGCGUAGGGAGCAAACGGGAUUAGAUACCCCUGUAGUC
This 442-nucleotide ribosomal RNA is filed under the name uncultured bacterium. RNAcentral's name for it is "partial 16S ribosomal RNA". It matches the Rfam family "Bacterial small subunit ribosomal RNA", at positions 338 to 795 of the family's 1533-position model. The record is from RNAcentral.